UUCAUUCCGUUUCAUCCCUGCU
Molecule: non-coding RNA, 22 nt
Filed under: Rattus norvegicus (Norway rat)
Lineage: Eukaryota; Metazoa; Chordata; Mammalia; Rodentia; Muridae
Source: RNAcentral